ACACCACUACCUAACUCCAGAGUGCAGACAAAGCCAGCUCCAUUCACUGAUGAAGGAAACGCAGAUGGGCAAGAAGACAUUGUCUAUAUAGAAUGGGGGUUAAAGAGGAGCCACUUUGAAGAUGGUUUUACAUGGAAUCGAAAGUUAAAAGAACACAGCAAUACUUCACUGAAUCUUCCAGCUGCAAGGCUGAAAUGAUGAGGCUGAUGGACUUGACUGAUUUCUGGAAGGAGACAGAAUACCCACUGCUCUUCUCAUUCUGAUGAAAAGAAGAAAACUAACGAACCAGGAAAAUCAUCUCUCUGCUGAGAAGCUGCUUGUACCAAUAAAGAUGGUAUAUGAAACCCAUUUGAAAGAUAUCUGAAGAAGCAAAGGCCAACUACAGCUUUAAGACUCUUGGAAGUUUUAUGGUUGG
Long non-coding RNA from Nannospalax galili (Upper Galilee mountains blind mole rat), 415 nucleotides. RefSeq lists it as uncharacterized. The transcript is spliced from 3 exons. NCBI's taxonomy places the organism in Eukaryota, Metazoa, Chordata, Mammalia, Rodentia, Spalacidae. The record is from RefSeq and is a predicted model, not a curated record.